CAGACUGGGACUGAGACACGGCCCAGACUCCUACGGGAGGCAGCAGUCGGGAAUUUUGCUCAAUGGGCGAAAGCCUGAAGCAGCAACGCCGCGUGAGGGAUGACGGCCUUCGGGUUGUAAACCUCUUUUGUCAGGGACGAAUAAUGACGGUACCUGGCGAAUAAGCUUCGGCUAACUACGUGCCAGCAGCCGCGGUAAUACGUAGGAAGCAAGCGUUAUCCGGAUUUACUGGGCGUAAAGUGAGCGUAGGUGGCCUUUCAAGUCGGAUGUGAAAUCUCCUGGCUUAACUGGGAGGGGUCAUUCGAUACUGUUGGGCUAGAGGACAUCAAGGGAAGGUGGAAUUCCGGGUGUAGUGGUGAAAUGCGUAGAUAUCCGGAGGAACACCAGUGGCGAAGGCGGCCUUCUGGGAUGUUUCUGACACUGAGGCUCGAAAGUGUGGGGAGCGAACAGGAUUAGAUACCCCUGGUAGUCCACACUGUAAACUAUGGACACUAGGUAUAGGGAGUUUCGACCCUCUCUGUGCCGAAGCUAACGCUUUAAGUGUCCCGCCUGGGGACUACGGCCGCAAGGUUAAA
This 575-nucleotide ribosomal RNA is filed under the name uncultured soil bacterium. RNAcentral describes it as "bacterial SSU rRNA". It matches the Rfam family "Bacterial small subunit ribosomal RNA", at positions 309 to 898 of the family's 1533-position model. The record is from RNAcentral.